RNAcentral lists this ribosomal RNA (253 nucleotides) under uncultured bacterium. Its description in RNAcentral is "partial 16S ribosomal RNA". It matches the Rfam family "Bacterial small subunit ribosomal RNA", at positions 524 to 776 of the family's 1533-position model. The record is from RNAcentral.
UACGAAGGGGGCUAGCGUUGCUCGGAAUCACUGGGCGUAAAGCGCACGUAGGCGGCUUUCUAAGUCAGGGGUGAAAUCCUGGAGCUCAACUCCAGAACUGCCUUUGAUACUGGAGAGCUAGAGUCCGGAAGAGGUGAGUGGAACUGCGAGUGUAGAGGUGAAAUUCGUAGAUAUUCGCAAGAACACCAGUGGCGAAGGCGGCUCACUGGUCCGGUACUGACGCUGAGGUGCGAAAGCGUGGGGAGGAAAUAGG